AAGAAAAUGACCAAAAUAGCCCCUUUUUAUUUUGAAAUUUUUUUUUAUUUUUUAUUUUUUUUAAAUUUGAAACCAUAUCCUCAAAACCCCACCCCUUAACUCUAAACCCUAAUUAUAGAUUAGUUAACCCUAGGGUAUAAAUGUAUUUUUACUUUUUAAUAAAACUUCUUUUGGUCAUUUUUUCAUUGAGGACUAUUUUUUGACAAAACUUAAAAUAUGACUAUCCUAGGGAAUUUAUUUAUAUUGUAUAUUUAUUUAUUCUAAUUUUCUUGCUUUUAUAUCAAAUAGUAAUAUUACGAUAGAUGUUUAAUGUAAUAUUUCUAUUUCUUAUAUUUUAUAUUUGCUUAUUAUUUAUUUAACUAUACAUUUUCCAUUUAACUAUACAUUUUCCAAGUAGAUGUUUAAGUAAGGAAUGCUUCCAAAACGCUGCAGCUUUGAUGGCUUGGUCGUUGGUGAGUGGUGACUUGUUCUCCAAAGUGGGAAUGUAUCCAGUUUUGGCAAGUUCCCACACAAUAAGAUCCUCCUGAUCAUGUGGGCUCUGCUGCAUGGUAAGAACUCUUCUAGUCCUCCUGGAUCGUUGGAUAUACUUCCCAUAUGAUUAUAAAUCUCUUCUGAUCGCCUUUUUUUGGUUUGGCUAAGAUUGAACCGGUGAGACUCCAAAUUAGGCAAUUGCAGAACUGGUUUGACCGGUUUAGGGAAAUGGACCAUAAUUCCGUGGACUUUUCUCCUCAUUCUUGGCUUGUUGGAAAUCUAAGAGCUCCAUCUUUAAUUCCAUGAGUUGGUUUGGGUCAGAACGCUUCUUCGUUGGGCUUGAAACAACUUCUAAACUCGAGAUACUCGCAGAUGGAUGGGCUGGAGAACCUCUAGUUUGUAAAAUUCAUAUCUUCCUUCUCUGAGUAUCUUUAAAGAUGAUUCCAAAUGGGCUUGACUCCUUGUUGAGUGUAGAAUGUAUGAAAAUUGGUUUCAUGGAAAUAUUCCUCAUGGUUGGUGAGAUACUUUGUUUUGACUCAACACAUAUCCUGGUUGGUCUUUCGGUUAGCCGAUUGGUGCAACUGGUUGGCCUCUAGUUCAGCUACUGAUUUGAUGGCCGCAUCAAUUUAUUUUUUCAUAUUUUGUAUAUUUACUUAUUCUUAAUUUUUUUGCAUUUAUAUCAAUGAUUAUAUUACGAUAUAUAUUUAAUGUAUUUUUUUCUUUUGUACUAUAUUUACUUAUUAUUUAUUUUUAUAUUUACUUAUUCUAAAAUUACGAUAAAUGUUCAAUACAAUUUUUCUACUUCUUAUAUUGUGUAUUUACUUAUUAUUUAUUUUAUUAUACAUUUUCAGAUAGGUGUUUAAUUUAAUUUUUUCAUUUUUUAAUUCUAUAUUUACUUAUUGUAUAUUUACUUAUUCUUUCCCCAAUUUUCUUUCUUUUAUAUCAAAUGAUAAUAUUAUGAUAGAUGUUUAAUUUAAUAAUUCUAUUUAUUAUAUUAUAUAUUUGCUUAUUAUUUAUUUUUCCUUAUAUAAGUAUAUUUACUUAUUAUCGAUUAUGUAAGAUUUCUAUUUCUUAUAUUUUAUAUUUACUUAUUAUUUAUUUUUCCUUAUAUUAUAUAUUUACUAAUGAUUUAUUUUUUAGUAACAAUGCCACAUGAAUUCUUUCGGAAGAAGUAUUUUUUGCUGACGUGGACGCUCUAUGGAGCUUCAAAAUGUCUAUUUUAUUAGUAUAUAUUUAUUUUUUAGUAACAAUGCCACAUGGAUUCUUUCGGAAGAAGUGACGCUCUAUGGAGCUUCAAAAUGUCUAUUUUAUCCUUUAUAUACUAAAGCGCAAGUCGCUUGGCGAAUAAAAACUAGACAUGUGGCAAAAAAAAUUAAAAAAAAAAUAAUUCUUUUCAUCUCCCUUUUUUCGGCAGUUAUAAUAUUCAACAACCAACUUCCUAAUUUUGCUAUCUUUUACGUUAGCUUAUAAAUUUGCUGUCUUUUCUUCAUCUCUUAUAUAAAUUAUCCUAAAACCAGAUGAUACUUUAACUUUUCAAAACUCUUAUACUCAUUUUUUUUUCGUCGACAACUACUCUUAUUCAAAAGCGAGCUUUCUCAAAUAGUGUGAUCUACAAAUGUUUAGUACAUAUCUAAUGUAUACGAAGGAUUCAUCCAGCUGGUGGUGAAUGAUACAUGUGUCUUUUUCUACUAUAUUACUAUAUCAACCUGGUGAUAUGGAUGAUUGUCUACAUGUGUCUAUUUC
RNAcentral lists this long non-coding RNA (2214 nucleotides) under Brassica rapa (field mustard). Its description in RNAcentral is "long non-coding RNA (BRAP_LNC002541)". Lineage: Eukaryota; Viridiplantae; Streptophyta; Magnoliopsida; Brassicales; Brassicaceae. The record is from RNAcentral.